CCCCAUUUGCCAUCGCCAACACUGCAACACAGUGACACCGAUCCUCCAUCUUCCCUCAUCGGCCAUCACUGAUGCCGUCUUCCUAUCUUCGGCCAUCACCGUUCAUCAUUUUGGGUAAGAAUCCUCCGAAUCCUCUUCCUUCAGAUCUCAAGUCUUAGUAUUCCUCAAUCCCUAUUUUCUUUUUCUCUCAAGACAGGGUUUUGAAGUUGUAUUGCCAAAGAGCGGAGGC
Molecule: long non-coding RNA, 229 nt
Filed under: Elaeis guineensis (African oil palm)
Lineage: Eukaryota; Viridiplantae; Streptophyta; Magnoliopsida; Arecales; Arecaceae
Description: long non-coding RNA (EGUI_LNC004443)
Source: RNAcentral